GAAAUUCUACCCGGAAUCCUACAGAAAGUUGUGGCAGAUCACCUCUACAAUGUGCACUUGUCUAUCAGCAAUCAAGAUUCCUGCCCCUGGAGCUCUAUAAAACUGGGUAUGACCUGUGAGGACAAACCUGAGGAAGAGGACAUGAAGGAACCACUAAUCAAGUCAACUCUGGAGACUAAAAUAUUGUUAUAAAAGCCUACCAGCCCAUGGAUAGAGGAUUGUCUAUCAGAGGAACAAUUUUUAGAAUCUCAAGAGGAAGAGAAUACAUUAUUUUUAAAGCUUCAACAACCUACCUGCUGCAUCAGGAAGGUCAGAUUCUGAAAUGCUGGCUGGCAAUGCUCUGUGCCCUGCAGGUGAAAAUAUUGUACAAUGAAAUGGAAAAACACAGAUGGG
Molecule: non-coding RNA, 393 nt
Organism: Pelodiscus sinensis (Chinese soft-shelled turtle)
Lineage: Eukaryota; Metazoa; Chordata; Testudines; Trionychidae
Source: RefSeq, a predicted model, not a curated record